RNAcentral lists this ribosomal RNA (537 nucleotides) under uncultured bacterium. RNAcentral describes it as "bacterial SSU rRNA". It matches the Rfam family "Bacterial small subunit ribosomal RNA", at positions 778 to 1314 of the family's 1533-position model. The record is from RNAcentral.
AUAGAUACCCUGGUAGUCCACGCCCUAAACGAUGCGAACUGGAUGUUGGGUACAUUACGGUACUCAGUGUCGAAGCUAACGCGUUAAGUUCGCCGCCUGGGGAGUACGGUCGCAAGACUGAAACUCAAAGGAAUUGACGGGGGCCCGCACAAGCGGUGGAGUAUGUGGUUUAAUUCGAUGCAACGCGAAGAACCUUACCUGGCCUUGACAUCUGUCGAAUCCUGCAGAGAUGCGGGAGUGCCGCAAGGAACGACAAGACAGGUGCUGCAUGGCUGUCGUCAGCUCGUGUCGUGAGAUGUUGGGUUAAGUCCCGCAACGAGCGCAACCCUUGUCCCUAGUUGCCAGCACGUAAUGGUGGGAACUCUAGGGAGACUGCCGGUGACAAACCGGAGGAAGGUGGGGAUGACGUCAAGUCCCCAUGGCCCUUACGGCCAGGGCUACACACGUACUACAAUGGUCGGUACAGAGGGUUGCGAAGCCGCGAGGCGAAGCCAAUCCCAGAAACCGAUCCCAGUCCGGAUUGGAGUCUGCAACUCG